This 63-nucleotide small nuclear RNA is filed under the name Castor canadensis (American beaver). RNAcentral's name for it is "U7 small nuclear RNA (ENSCCNG00000012660.1)". It matches the Rfam family "U7 small nuclear RNA". Rfam says of the family: Animal histone pre-mRNAs are spliced by a different mechanism than nuclear pre-mRNAs and self-splicing introns. This processing involves the U7 snRNP, which contains only one RNA species: U7. Lineage: Eukaryota; Metazoa; Chordata; Mammalia; Rodentia; Castoridae. The record is from Rfam by way of RNAcentral.
GAGUAUUAGCUCUUUUAGAAUUUGUCUAGGAGGUUUUCUGGCUCAUAAUGGAAAUCAGCCCUC